UUGACCUCGGAUCAGGUAGGAAUACCCGCUGAACUUAAGCAUAUCAAA
RNAcentral lists this ribosomal RNA (48 nucleotides) under Colletotrichum truncatum. RNAcentral's name for it is "partial 28S ribosomal RNA". Lineage: Eukaryota; Fungi; Ascomycota; Sordariomycetes; Glomerellales; Glomerellaceae. The record is from RNAcentral. RNAcentral also lists the same sequence under 29 other names.